This 429-nucleotide ribosomal RNA is filed under the name uncultured bacterium. Its description in RNAcentral is "bacterial SSU rRNA". It matches the Rfam family "Bacterial small subunit ribosomal RNA", at positions 355 to 776 of the family's 1533-position model. The record is from RNAcentral.
UGGGGAAUAUUGCACAAUGGGCGAAAGCCUGAUGCAGCCAUGCCGCGUGUGUGAAGAAGGCCUUCGGGUUGUAAAGCACUUUCAGCGAGGAGGAAAGGUUACUGGCUAAUAUCCAGUAGCUGUGACGUUACUCGCAGAAGAAGCACCGGCUAACUUCGUGCCAGCAGCCGCGGUAAUACGAGGGGUGCAAGCGUUAAUCGGAAUUACUGGGCGUAAAGCGUACGCAGGCGGUUUGUUAAGCGAGAUGUGAAAGCCCCGGGCUCAACCUGGGAACUGCAUUUCGAACUGGCAAACUAGAGUCUUGUAGAGGGGGGUAGAAUUUCAGGUGUAGCGGUGAAAUGCGUAGAGAUCUGAAGGAAUACCGGUGGCGAAGGCGGCCCCCUGGACAAAGACUGACGCUCAGGUACGAAAGCGUGGGGAGCAAACAGG